CAUCUACUCCCUCCGUUCGGAAUUACUUGUCGCAGAAAUGGAUGUAUCUAGACGUAUUUUACUUCUAGAUACAUCCAUUCUCGCGACAAGUAAUUCCGAACAGAGAGAGUAGGUC
Molecule: non-coding RNA, 115 nt
Organism: Triticum aestivum (bread wheat)
Lineage: Eukaryota; Viridiplantae; Streptophyta; Magnoliopsida; Poales; Poaceae
Source: Rfam